UACAGAGGUCAAGCGUUGUUCGGAUUUACUGGGCGUAAAGGGUGCGUAGGUGGCGGGGUAAGUCUGGUGUGAAAGCUCCGAGCUCAACUCGGAAAAGCAUUGGAAACUAUCCCGCUUGAGGGUCGGAGGGGAGACUGGAAUUCUCGGUGUAGCAGUGAAAUGCGUAGAUAUCGAGAGGAACACCAGUGGCGAAGGCGAGUCUCUGGACGACUCCUGACACUGAGGCACGAAAGCUAGGGGAGCAAACAGG
Molecule: ribosomal RNA, 250 nt
Filed under: uncultured bacterium
Lineage: Bacteria
Description: partial 16S ribosomal RNA
Rfam family: Bacterial small subunit ribosomal RNA
Source: RNAcentral